RNAcentral lists this ribosomal RNA (454 nucleotides) under uncultured Rikenella sp. RNAcentral describes it as "partial 16S ribosomal RNA". It matches the Rfam family "Bacterial small subunit ribosomal RNA", at positions 341 to 792 of the family's 1533-position model. The record is from RNAcentral. Lineage: Bacteria; Pseudomonadati; Bacteroidota; Bacteroidia; Bacteroidales; Rikenellaceae.
ACGGGAGGCAGCAGUGAGGAAUAUUGGUCAAUGGACGGAAGUCUGAACCAGCCAUGCCGCGUGAAGGAAUAAGGCCCUAUGGGUCGUAAACUUCUUUUGUGGUGGAGCAAUAAGGUGCACGUGUGCAUCGAUGAGAGUACAUCACGAAUAAGCAUCGGCUAACUCCGUGCCAGCAGCCGCGGUAAUACGGAGGAUGCAAGCGUUAUCCGGAUUUAUUGGGUUUAAAGGGUGCGUAGGCGGCUUGUCAAGUCAGUGGUGAAAGCCCCCUGCUCAACAGGGGAACUGCCAUUGAUACUGUCAGGCUUGAAUUCGGAUGCCGUGGGAGGAAUGAGUAGUGUAGCGGUGAAAUGCAUAGAUAUUACUCAGAACACCGAUUGCGAAGGCAUCUCACGAAUCCGACAUUGACGCUGAGGCACGAAAGCGUGGGGAUCAAACAGGAUUAGAUACCCUGGUA